This 797-nucleotide ribosomal RNA is filed under the name uncultured bacterium. RNAcentral's name for it is "bacterial SSU rRNA". It matches the Rfam family "Bacterial small subunit ribosomal RNA", at positions 74 to 860 of the family's 1533-position model. The record is from RNAcentral.
GUCUCUUCGGGGAUGAUUAAACCGGCGCACGGGUGAGUAACACGUGAGUGACCUGCCUUUUAGACUGGAACAACUUACCGAAAGGUGAGCUAAUACCGGAUGAGUUAUAUAAGUGCGUGUUUAUAUAGGAAAAGUUGGGGAGACCUGACGCUGAAAGAUGGACUCGCGUCCCAUUAGCUAGUUGGUAGGGUAAUGGCCUACCAAGGCGACGAUGGGUAGCCGGCCUGAGAGGGUGGCCGGCCACACUGGGACUGAGACACGGCCCAGACUCCUACGGGAGGCAGCAGUGGGGAAUUUUGCGCAAUGCUCGUAAGAGUGACGCAGCGACGCCGCGUGAAUGACGAAGGCCUUCGGGUCGUAAAGUUCUUUCGACAGGGAAGAAAAUGCCUAUAAGUAACUGUGUAUGUAUUGACGGUACCUGUAUAAGCAGCCCCGGCUAACUCCGUGCCAGCAGCCGCGGUAAUACGGAGGGGGCGAGCGUUGUUCGGAGUGACUGGGCGUAAAGAGCACGUAGGCGGUGUUGUAAGUCAUUAGUCAAAGACUAGAGCUCAACUUUAGUAAGGCUAGUGAUACUAUAAUACUAGAGUAUCAGAGAGGAUUGCAGAAUUCCUGGUGUAGCGGUGAAAUGCGUAGAUAUCAGGAGGAAUACCGUUAGCGAAGGCGGCAAUCUGGCUGGAAACUGACGCUGAGGUGCGAAAGCGUGGGUAGCAAACAGGAUUAGAUACCCUGGUAGUCCACGCUGUAAACGAUGGAUGCUAGGUGUUGGGCUUUUAAGUUCAGUGCCGCAGCAAACGCGA